ACAUCCUCGCCCUCCUCCCCUGUCACUCCCCUCCGCCCUCGCCGCGAAACCCUUGCAGCCGUGUGCGGUCUCGUCGCUUCGAAUUGCUCGAAUCUGCGCUUACAUACAUGCCGUGAUAUCGCUGUGCCACAUGCAAGCAACAUGAGAGCUAGGAGCCGCGGAUAGUAGGGAUGAAGAUUGGCAAGAUAAUAACGGCACAUUAAACACCAUAUCACAAUUGUAUCCUGGCUUGCCUUGUGUGCAUUCGAAAUGCGGGAUAGGAGCGGAUCUGAGUGAUUUAAAGGAUGGAAGAGUUCUUCAACCUGGAAUAUGGUAAGAACAUUUUCAAACUUGUUUGUCUACAAAGAUUCUUAGUCCGUUUUGAGGAUUGAGCUUUUUCUCUCAAUUGCAAUCUCUGUGUGUCGUAUAUUUUGAAAAACUUAAUGUGUUCAAUGUUCUCAACAAAAGAUCUAACCUGGAGCUCUGCCAAUGCAAGUUACAAUCAACCUUAGUCGUGGAUCACAUCUACAUUAUCAUCAAUCAUGAAUGAGCAGGUGUUCAUCUAGAUGUAAGAUAUGACAACACAUUUCAACUGUGUAGAAAGUAAAUUAAACCCUCAUUGCAAUCUUCUUGAGUUGCAUGUAUUUUUCAUCACCAGAGAUGUGCAAGGGAAGGUCAUAAACUUAAAUGUAAUAUGCAUUGAAAAUGUUUCUUGCUGAGGGAAGUCAUAAUCUUGUCAUACUAUUCAUAUAUCAAUUUACCUUGGCGUUGGGAUUCCUUAUGUCAUCUACUUGGUUCAAGUUGAUAAGACACUCAUGACAAGACACUCAUUCAAUUUAUUUGAUGGAACUCCUAUUGCUA
Molecule: non-coding RNA, 840 nt
Organism: Physcomitrium patens
Lineage: Eukaryota; Viridiplantae; Streptophyta; Bryopsida; Funariales; Funariaceae
Source: RefSeq, a predicted model, not a curated record